GAUGAAGAACGCAGCGAAAUGCGAUACGUAAUGUGAAUUGCAGAAUUCAGUGAAUCAUCGAAUCUUUGAACGCACAUUGCGCCCGCCAGCACUCUGGCGGGCAUGCCUGUUCGAGCGUCAUUUCAACCAUCAAGCCCCAGGCUUGCGUUGGAGCCCUGCGGCUGCCGCAGCCUCCUAAAAGCAGUGGCGGGCUCGCUAUCACACCGAGUGCAGUAGAUUACUCUUCGCUCAGGGCGUGCAGCGGGUUCCGGCCGUGAACCCCCCUACUUUUAAAGGUUGACCUCGGAUCAGGUAGGAAUACCCGCUGAACUUAAGCAUAUCAAUAAGCGGAGGA
RNAcentral lists this unclassified non-coding RNA (334 nucleotides) under soil metagenome. RNAcentral's name for it is "partial contains 5.8S ribosomal RNA, internal transcribed spacer 2, and large subunit ribosomal RNA". The stretch from base 1 to 120 matches the Rfam family "5.8S ribosomal RNA", at positions 35 to 154 of the family's 154-position model. The record is from RNAcentral.